Molecule: small RNA, 1356 nt
Filed under: Pan troglodytes (chimpanzee)
Lineage: Eukaryota; Metazoa; Chordata; Mammalia; Primates; Hominidae
Description: retained intron
Source: RNAcentral
ACUGACUAUAAAAGAAUAGAGAAGGAAGAGCUUCAGUGACCGGCUGCCUGGCUGACUUACAGCAGUCAGACUCUGACAGGAUCAUGGCUAUGAUGGAGGUCCAGGGGGGACCCAGCCUGGGACAGACCUGCGUGCUGAUCGUGGUCUUCACAGUGCUCCUGCAGUCUCUCUGUGUGGCUGUAACUUACGUGUACUUUACCAACGAGCUGAAGCAGUUUGCAGAAAAUGAUUGCCAGAGACUAAUGUCUGGGCAGCAGACAGGGUCAUUGCUGCCAUCUUGAAGUCUACCUUGCUGAGUCUACCUUGCUGAGUCUACCCUGCUGACCUCAAGCCCCAUCAAGGACUGGUUGACCCUGGCCUAGACAACCACCGUGUUUGUAACAGCACCAAGAGCAGUCGCCAUGGAAAUCCACUUUUCAGAACCAAGGGCUUCUGGAGCUGAAGAACAGGCACCCAGUGCAAGAGCUUUCUUUUCAGAGGCACGCAAAUGAAAAUAAUCCCCACACGCUACCUUCUGCCCCCAGUGCCCAGGUGUGGUUAGUUAGAGAAUAUAGCCUCAGCCUAUGAUAUGCUGCAGGAAACUCAUACUUUGAAGUGGAAAGGAUGGGAGGAGGCGGGGGGAGACAUAUCGUAUUAAUUAUCAUUCUUGGAAUAACCACAGCACCUCACGUCAACCCGCCAUGUGUCUAGUCACCAGCAUUGGCCAAGUUCUAUAGGAGAAACUACCAAAAUUCAUGAUGCAAGAAACAUGUGAGGGUGGAGAGAGUGACUGGGGCUUCCUCUCUGGAUUUCUAUUGUUCAGAAAUCAAUAUUUAUGCAUAAAAAGGUCUAGAAAGAGAAACACCAAAAUGACAAUGUGAUCUCUAGAUGGUAUGAUUAUGGGUACUUUUUUUCCAUUUUAUUUUUCUAUAUUUUACAAAUUUUCUACAGGGAAUGUCAUAAAAAUAUCUAUGCUAUCCAUGUAUAAUUUUCAUAUAGAUUGAAAGAACACAGCAUUUUUAUAUAGUCUUAUGAGAAAACAACCAUACUCAAAAUUAUGCACACACACAGUCUGAUCUCACCCCUGUAAACAAGAGAUAUCAUCCAAAGGUUAACUAGGAGGUGAGAACAUAGCUGCUAUUAGUGGUUGUUUUGUUUUGUUUUGUUUUGUUUUGUUUUGUGAUUUACUUAUUUAGUUUUUGGAGGGUUUUUUUUUUUCUUUUAGAAAAGUGUUCUUUACUUUUCCAUGCUUCCCUGCUUGCCUGUGUAUCCUGAAUGUAUCCAGGCUUUAUAAACUCCUGGGUAAUAAUGUAGCUACAUUAACUUGUUAACCUCCCAUCCACUUAUACCCAGGACCUUACUCAAUUUUCCAGGUUC